UCAGGGUUGCGGCCCCUUUAAAUACUCACGCUCCCGCCCACGGCGCUCGCGCUUGCCUUAAACAGUGCAUAAACAAAGUUUACACAGCUAAUAUAACCCUCAAAAUGGAUCUUUAUAAAGUGUUCGUCAUGCAUACUGCAUGCAUGCAUCGGAUUAUGUGAGUAUUGUAUUUAUUUGGAUGUUUACAUUUGAUUCUGAAUGAAGCCCAUUGAUUCAAUGUUGAAAUUCUAUCAGAAUCAUCAUUUUGGUUGAGAUUGAAAAUUCAAUGCUAAAUAACAUUGAAUCAAUGUUGAGCUUUCAAUGCUUUUCAGUGUUGAAAAAGACAACAUUGAAUCAACGUUGAUUUUUGGUCAGCUUCAUCACUGGUGGAACUUAGAUGUCUUAGAUGGAACUUUUAUGUCAAUCCAUCUGUCCCCUCAUUCAACACUUUAUUCACAUUAGCAUUCAUGCUCCCCAUGACCCUUCCCUCUAGUCCCACAAACAAAACAAAAAAAGAAUUUAAUUUUUUAGUAUCAUGUUUUUUUUUUUUUUUUUUUUUUUUAGUAUUAGUAGAAAUAGUCUAUUAUAAUUACAGUAUUUGCACAACUAAUUAAUUGACCUGGCAAACAACUAUUGACCACUAAUAAUGCUGUAAAAAUGUUUCUCCUCUUAGGACCUGAAGCUUUUCAAUGAUGUUUGAUGACUGAGGACACUUUACAAUACAUGGACAACCAGACAGAUGAUUGUGAGGGUGACCUUGAGCAGCUCUUCAUGGUGGUGUUCAUUCUUCAGAAGGAGCUGGAGAACUUCAUGAACCACCUGCUGACAUUGACAUUGUGAUCGAGGGAGAUAAAGUUUUGAAUCAACUCACAUGAGCUUGUGCCCUGCUUCUGGAUGCCUUACAUCAAGUGAGGGCUGAAAAAAGGAGGCCUAGAAGUUUGUAUUUGCUGUUUCUGCAAAACUGGCUCUGUUUAUGCUCCUGAUCAGCUUUCGGGCAUUGCUCGUGAUGUUCGUCUGAGUAUCAAUUUAAUGAAUAAGGACAUACUUUUUGCAUCAGAAGAUCUUCAAUCCUUAAAGCUUCAAGUCCUGAACAGUGAACUGUGGUAGUGUUUCAGUCUGUAGUACUGUGUUUGUCUUUGUUGGUGAGUUUCCAUUUGUAUACUUAAAAUUUACAGAUGCAGAUUGCAUUUGUUGUCACAGUUUUCCACAGUUUCUUUCCAAUGACUAAAAUGCAUGUUUGAGCUAUUUUAACUGAAAGUAAGUUGCACUGACAUCUUACAAUUUGUCUGUGCUAUUGUUUUGUCUCAAGAUGAAUGCCAAUAAUGUUUUUUUUUAUACUACUUAACCCCUUUCACAGACAAGGCUUAAAUCUGAUCCCAGACUAAAA
Megalobrama amblycephala (Wuchang bream) is the source of this 1366-nucleotide long non-coding RNA. RefSeq lists it as uncharacterized. NCBI's taxonomy places the organism in Eukaryota, Metazoa, Chordata, Actinopteri, Cypriniformes, Xenocyprididae. The transcript has 3 exons. The record is from RefSeq and is a predicted model, not a curated record.